UCAGCCUUCAGCCUAGUGGCGGAACUUCACCCUGUCACUUCAGAGCCUUGUUUCCUCCUGUUUUUUCAGGUCUUGGAUGUUUUUCCCUCCCCAUGGUCUUCUCUCACUCUUAACCUAGGUGUGUUCUCCAGGCUUCCUGACAGUUUAGAGUUGAGCCAUUCCAGAUGGUGUAAUAUAGCUUCCCAUUCAUCUGUGCUGCCUCCGUCUCCUCUCGGCCCCUUUCCACAGAGCUUUUUUAUGUUUGCAAAUAGGAUGGCAGAGUGCCAUCUUUUCCAGAAGAACCCCAUGCCUCAAGUCCCCACUUCCCACCCACCACACAGUUCCAUCUGGAUAAAUGGUGUCCUGGUAUCUGUUCCCCCCUCCAGGAUCUGAUCUGGAUCUCUUCCAGAUCCAGCAGAGAUCAAGACUGGAAGGAAUGGGGAGGUAGUAUGAAAUGCAGCAGCAAGGAGGCAAAGAUUGCUGAGUACUCUGGUCCUAAUACUUGCUCUUUUUCUAGCCAUGGCACUGAAGAGGGACAGCAAAUCUUGAAGCAGCCGGUGUCAGAGAGACUGGACUUUGUGUGCAGUUUUCUGCAGAAAAAUCGAAAACAUCCCUCUUCUCCAGAAUGCCUGGUGUCUGCACAGAAGGUGCUAGAGGGAUCAGAGCUGGAACUGGCGAAGAUGACCAUGCUGCUCUUAUACCACUCUACCAUGAGCUCCAAAAGUCCCAGGGACUGGGAACAGUUUGAAUAUAAAAUUCAGGUAAGCCCUUGUGCCUCCAUGCCACCUAGCAGGCCUAGCCCAUGCUUCACCUCAUCUGACUAGUUUUUUUUUGAACAGCAGAUACUGGUCUUUUUAAAAUACAGUUAUAGCAAUUAUUGCCAUUCAUCAUAGAAAG
Molecule: small RNA, 876 nt
Filed under: Pongo abelii (Sumatran orangutan)
Lineage: Eukaryota; Metazoa; Chordata; Mammalia; Primates; Hominidae
Description: retained intron
Source: RNAcentral